RNAcentral lists this transfer RNA (70 nucleotides) under Myoxocephalus jaok (plain sculpin). Its description in RNAcentral is "tRNA-Ile". It matches the Rfam family "tRNA". From Rfam's summary of the family: Transfer RNA (tRNA) molecules are approximately 80 nucleotides in length. Their secondary structure includes four short double-helical elements and three loops (D, anti-codon, and T loops). Further hydrogen bonds mediate the characteristic L-shaped molecular structure. tRNAs have two regions of fundamental functional importance: the anti-codon, which is responsible for specific mRNA codon recognition, and the 3' end, to which the tRNAs corresponding amino acid is attached (by aminoacyl-tRNA synthetases). tRNAs cope with the degeneracy of the genetic code in two manners: having more than one tRNA (with a specific anti-codon) for a particular amino acid; and 'wobble' base-pairing, i.e. permitting non-standard base-pairing at the 3rd anti-codon position. Lineage: Eukaryota; Metazoa; Chordata; Actinopteri; Perciformes; Cottidae. The record is from RNAcentral.
GGAGUUGUGCCUGAAAUAAAGGGCCACUUUGAUAGAGUGACUUAUGGGGGUUAAAGUCCCCUCAACUCCU